RNAcentral lists this ribosomal RNA (481 nucleotides) under uncultured bacterium. RNAcentral's name for it is "bacterial SSU rRNA". It matches the Rfam family "Bacterial small subunit ribosomal RNA", at positions 49 to 518 of the family's 1533-position model. The record is from RNAcentral.
UAACACAUGCAAGUCGAGCGAGGAGAGUUCCUCGGGAUGAUCCUAGCGGCGGACGGGUGAGUAACACGUGGGCAACCUGCCUCAUAGAGAGGAAUAGCCUUCCGAAAGGGAGAUUAAUACCUCAUAACAUUGCAGUUUCGCAUGGAACAGCAAUUAAAGGAGUAAUCCGCUAUGAGAUGGGCCCGCGGCGCAUUAGCUAGUUGGUGAGGUAACGGCUCACCAAGGCGACGAUGCGUAGCCGACCUGAGAGGGUGAUCGGCCACAUUGGGACUGAGACACGGCCCAGACUCCUACGGGAGGCAGCAGUAGGGAAUCUUCCGCAAUGGACGAAAGUCUGACGGAGCAACGCCGCGUGAGUGAAGAAGGGUUUUUUCCGGAUCGUAAAACUCUGUUGUCAGAGAAGAACAAGUUGGAGAGUAACUGCUCCAGCCUUGACGGUAUCUGACCAGAAAGCCACGGCUAACUACGUGCCAGCAGCAGC